CAGGAUGUUUUGAAAGUGAAAACAUGGACGACGAUUUCAAGACUUGCUGCUAUCGAAUACAGAUCGCCCCGUGAUCAAUCUAAUAGACUAUUAACGUUUAUUUAUACCUAAAGUUGGUUUAGAAAAGCAAUUUGAAGUGAUUUGUAAAAGUUUAUAGGUAACUUUUGUAAUUUUAAAAAGUGACGUUGCGUCAUGUAAAGGGGCAUUUUUCUGGAUCAGACCGGUCGUCAGCAAAUCACAUUUUGGGUAUACAAUGACGGAUUUAAUCGGGAAAAAGACCCAAUUGUGAUGUUUAUGUGACAUAUAGGAGUGCCAAGAAAGAAGCUCGUCAAAGAAUCCGCAGGAGGAGUCCAGGCCGCCGAAUCAGCUGGAGGAGUCCAGGCCGCCGAAUCAGCUGGAGGAGUCCAGGCCGAAUCAGCUGGAGGAGUCCAGGCCGCCGAAUCAGCUGGAGGAGUCCAGGCCGCCGAAUCAGCUGGAGGAGUCCAGGCCGCCGAAUCAGCUGGAGGAGUCCAGGCUGUUGAAUCAGCAGGAGGAGUCCAGGCUGUUGAAUUAGCAGGAGGAGUCCAGGCUGUUGAAUCAGCAGGAGGAGUCCAGGCUGUUGCUGCUCAGGAUAGUUACUAUUACAGGGCUUGUGGCAACAGGUCACAAAUCUUGCUGUCGUGAUGGCACACUGUGGUACUUCACCCAGUAGAUAUGGGAGUUCAUCAAAAUUGGGUUUGUUUUCAAAUUCUUUUGCUGGUCUGUGUAAUCUGAGGUAAAUAUGUGUCUCUAAUAUGGUCAAACACUUGGCAGGAGGUUAGGAAGUGCAGCUCAGUUUCCACCUCAUUUUGUGGGCAGUGUUGCACAUAGCCUAUUUUCUACUGCGAGCCAGGUCUCGCUCUCCAUUCCUACUCUCUCCUUUCCCCCCUCUCCCUC
Long non-coding RNA from Oncorhynchus tshawytscha (Chinook salmon), 915 nucleotides. The record is from Ensembl. Lineage: Eukaryota; Metazoa; Chordata; Actinopteri; Salmoniformes; Salmonidae.